UGGGGAAUAUUGCACAAUGGAGGGAACUCUGAUGCAGCGACGCCGCGUGAGUGAUGAAGGAAUUCGUUUCGUAAAACUCUGUUCUAUGGGAAGAAAAGGACUGUACCAUAGGAGAAAGCUCCGGCUAAAUACGUGCCAGCAGCCGCGGUAAUACGUAUGGAGCGAGCGUUUUCCGGAAUUAUUGGGCGUAAAGGGUGCGCAGGCGGCUUUACAAGUUGGAUGUGAAAUAUUGUGGCUCAACCACAAACGUGCAUCCAAAACUGCAAAGCUUGAGUUAAGGAGAGGUAAGUGGAAUUCCUGGUGUAGCGGUGGAAUGCGUAGAUAUCAGGAGGAAUACCGGUGGCGAAGGCGACUUACUGGACUUAAACUGACGCUCAGGCACGAAAGCGUGGGGAGCAAACAGG
This 404-nucleotide ribosomal RNA is filed under the name Fusobacteriota bacterium. Its description in RNAcentral is "Fusobacteria bacterium partial 16S ribosomal RNA". It matches the Rfam family "Bacterial small subunit ribosomal RNA", at positions 355 to 776 of the family's 1533-position model. Lineage: Bacteria; Fusobacteriati; Fusobacteriota. The record is from RNAcentral.